GCGUGUGUGUGCGUGCGCGUGCGUGCGUGCGUGUGCGCGCGUGCGUGCGUGCGUGCGUGUGGCGUUGAAGCGGCUCGUGCUGAGGUCGGCACGAGCCUUUACUUUCCGUGUUUUCGACGUCAUGGCUUUAACAAACCUGACCCGGAAACAUGGGUUUAAGUUGCUACCGACGGUCGCGUGCACCGUAGAGGAGUGCGCCGCAGCAGUAGCUAAACUAAUCGGCGGUAGGAGCGUUGUCUCUGCCGGCCGCAUGAAUAAGGCUGUGGUGAUAUUUGUAGACGAAGUUCACAAAGUUGAGGUUGUGGUCGCUAAUGGAGUUGUGAUCAGAGACACAUUGAUCAAAGUUUUUCCCCUCAGUAGCCCCUCGAAAAGGGUUAUUUUGUCUAAUGUUCCCCCCUACAUAGACAAUAAGGUACUGCUAGCUACUGCAACUGGCUAGAUUUGGGGAAACGGUGUCUGAGAUAAAGCCAAUUACAACAGGCUACAAAGACCCAGAGAUGAAGCACAUUUUGUCAUACAGCAGAUUUGUGUAUAUGAUCCUAAACAACAGGGAUGAAGACCUGAACAUAGUGUUCAAAGUCAAAGUGAAUGGGGAAGAAUUUGUCAUUUUUGCAACUUCUGGAGUGUUGAAGUGUUUUGGGUGUGGUCAGGAGGGACAUAUGUUCAGGAACUGUCCUGAGAAAGAAGUUGAUGGUGGUCAGGAGACAGGACUACAGAAAGAAAAAGAUAAGCGUGACAGUGAGGGAAACAAUGUACACACAGACAGGCAAGAGGAAAUAACACAAGAAAACAGUAACACAGAAGGUCAAGAAGGAAAAGAGAAAACAAAUGAGCCAGAAGCAGGACAGAUGGAGACAGGGAAGGAAAAUCCACAAGUUAAUAAUGACAAUCCAGAACAAAACACAGAGACGGUUGGACAUCAGAGUAGCGAGGAGUCUGUAGCUAAAGACAACACGGAUCUGAUCACAGCUGAUGCAGGGUUCACUGUGGUCAGAUCCAAAAGAAAGUAUAAGGCAAGCGGUAGUGGCCUUCAGACUAGGAAGAAAGGGCUUGUUGAAACAGUACAAGAACAACAAAGUGUAAACAGUCAAGAAGCAGUGAUGGAGUCGGGCAGUGAGCAAGACACCAAUACAGACACAGACAGCGAUGAGGACAAACUCACUAAGGAUCAGGCAGGUACAUACACAGCUAAGGAGAUAAAAAGGUUUCUCCAAAAAACAAAGAACAUGAAGGGAGUCAAAAUAGACCAGCACUUCCCCGACAGACAACGUUUUGUAGACUCAGCUACAAACAUAAGAGACAAAAAUAAAAGUUUCACACACCAAGAAGUUUAUCGUUUAAAAAAGCUUGUAACAAAAACAAGACAGGAUUUGCUGUGUGAUGAGGAUGACAGUGCAUGACCUAUUACUCUGUGACGUAAUGCUAGUCUGUUUCUAUGUCAUACUUUAUCUCAUGUCUGAUUUUAACAUUGCUUCUUUAAAUUUACGUGGAGGAAGGGAUGUUAAAAAAAGAACAGAACUGUAUGAAUUAAUGAGACUGAAACACAUAGAUGUGAUGUUUUUACAAGAAACGCACAGUGACAAAGAAAAUGAGUCCAGAUGGAUGAUGGAAUGGGAAGGUGAAGUUGUUUUAAGUUCACUGAGUUCAGUAAGCGCUGGAGUGGGCAUUCUCUUUGCCAAACAUUUCAUACCAGAAUCUUACACCACACAAGAGAUUGUUGCUGGUAGACUAAUGUUGGUUGAAGCAAAAUAUGAACUUUUUAAUCUUGUAUUUAUUAACAUUUAUGCUCCAACUAACGGCCCUGAACGAGUCUUAUUUUUAAAUAAAUUAUGUGAACUUUUAUCCAGCUGUGAUUUUAAAGACUAUCUGUUUUUAGGAGGAGAUUUUAACUGCACUCAAAAUGAUUUGAUGGAUAGAAACCACACAGAACCCCACGCAGCAUCGAAGCAUACACUUACACGUCUGAUAAAAACCCAUGAUCUGGUAGAUGUGUGGAGAAGGCAACACGGGAACGAGAGACAAUACACACGGAUUUUUCUGGACCUCUUUUAGAAAAGAAAAGAGAGAUUUCUCCUCCUAUAGACAAUGGUGGGACCAUGGGAAGAUUUCUUCAUCUCUGGGUCUUUCCAAGUCAUUAAGAGAGCUGGAGAUAGAUAUUGUGGAACUCCAGGCCUUGACUGAGUCCACAGGAAAUAGAGGACAUUUUGAGAACCUCAAGGCAAAAAAAAGCUUUAAUGGCGGAUCUAUUGGGCACAAAAGCACAAGGAGCUCUCGUCCGUUCUCGCUUCAAGGGCGUCAAUGAGAUUGAUGCCCCCUCACGGUACUUCUUCGGUCUGGAGAAGAAGAACGGACAGAGCAGACUCAUGCACACACUACGGACAGCAGACGGUCAAAACAUAACCCACACUAGUGACAUCAGACGGUACGCCACAAAGUUCUACAGGGAUCUGUAUGACAACAAGUACAGUGACAAUCAAGAGCUACUAGAGGUUUUUCACAGAGGGCUCCCGAAGGUCCCCCCUGAGGAGAAUGCUGCACUGGAUGGCCCGCUGGUUCUAGAGGAACUGCAGGCCGCCCUGAACACAAUGGCAGGAGGGAAAGCACCAGGAAUAGACGGCCUGCCAGCGGAAUUCUUCAAGUUUUUCUGGCAUUAACUGGGGGAAGACCUGCUAGAAGUUCUCACUGAAAGCUGUGAGGAAGGCUGUCUACCCCUGAGCAGCCGGAGGGCCGUACUCACACUUCUGCCCAAAAAAGGUGAUCUGCAAGACCUCAAGAACUGGCGUCCAGUGUCACUAUUAUGCACGGACUACAAGAUAAUGUCGAAAGCGCUGGCGUACCAUCUCAGGAAUGUUAUGGACUCCAUAAUUCACGUCGACCAGACUUACUGUGUACCCAAUAGAUCCAUCAUUGAUAACGUUUCUCUGAUUCGGGACAUUUUGGACGUCUCUAGCUCAUUGGCAAAUGAUCUUGGUCUGAUUUCGCUGGAUCAAGAAAAAGCUGUUGACAGGGUUGAGCACCAGUACCUCUGGAAACUCUAGGGGCUUUUGGUCUCAACCCCGGUCUUAUAGCAAUGAUAAAGGUGAUGUACCAGGAUGCUGAAAGUGUACUCAAGAUCAACAGAGGGUUAAGCGCUCCUUUUAAUGUAAAUCGGGGAAUCAGACAAGGUUGCUCGCUAUCAGGUAUGUUAUAUACUCUAUCAAUCGAACCGUUUUUACACAGAUUGCGAAUGUCUUUAACUGGUUUUAUUCUUCCUGUUUUUAAUGCUCCACGUUUUAUCUGCAUAUGCCGACGAUGUCAUGGUUUUAAUACAAAACCAAAAUGAUAUCAAGGUUUUAGAAAAUGUUGUUGCUGAAUUUAGUCAAGUUUCCUCGUCAAAGGUAAACUGGAAAAAAGUGAAGCCGUUGCGGUAGGGAACUGGACCGUCGGCUUACCAAAAUUAACAAAUGGACUAGAAUGGACAAAAGAUUUCAGAUACUUAGGGAUCUUUUUAAAUGAUGAAAAGAAAAACUGGGAAGGAGUAUUGGAAAAAAUAGAAGGCAAAUUAAAAAAAUGGGAAUGGCUUAAACCAAAUAUGUCACUUAGAGGGAGAGUGCUGGUGGCCAACAUUUUAGUAGCCUCUACACUGUGGCACCGCUUAGCCUGCCUGGAGCCCCCCACAGGCCUUGUUGAAAAAAUUCAAGCAGCAUUAGUUAAUUUUGUAUGGGACAAAUUACACUGGGUCCCUCAGUGCGUUCUCUUCCUCCCUAAGGAUGAAGGAGGGCAGGGCCUUGUAGAUAUCCGGAGCAGAAUUGCAACUUUCCGUUUUCAAACUGUACAAAAAUACCUGAUCGGGUCUGAUUCCCUGAUAUGGAGAGAUUUAAUGAGUUUUAUUCUGCAAAAAGUCAAUGGUUUUAAUUGUGAUCGCACUUUAUUUUUAAUGGAUCCCAGUGUUUUAAAUGUUUCUAACAUGUCUGUUUUUUAUAAAAGUGUAUUUAAAACAUGGACUCUGUUUGAACGUGGAUCCCAAGGCCCGGCGGUGUCACUGUAUUGGCUCCUAGAAGAGCCAUUAGUGGGAGGAGGACGACUGGACAUCGGAGACACUUCUGCAGGCCUCACACAAACCCUGGUGUGCCAGAACUUCACGACCUUGAGGAGACUGGUGGACACUGCAGGACCAGACUUCAAGGACACGAAAGCAGUGGCCAAAGAACUCGGGCUACGAUCACUGCGACAUGGAAAACAACAUCAACAAAUGGAUCAACAAGUUAUUGAAAGAAGAACUGCUUCUAUUGAAGGAGUACCACGAAGGGACCGAAACACCCGAUAAAUGCGACCCUUUCCCAGAACUGGAACUUUUACCGAAGCUUCAUGGUUUUAAUGGUUUGUACCUCGAUACAGAAAAAAGACACGUUUUACCAAUUUAUGAAGCAAAAGGAAAGGAAAUAUACAAAUGUUGUGUGAAAACUGUAAACAAAAGAAAGCUGGAUGGGAGGAAAGACACGGUGUGGAGGGACAAGCUGGGGGUUUUAGACGACACUAAACCGACAUGGAGAGUUUUUUAUAAAUUGCCACUAAGAAAGCGAGCAGGUGAUUUACAGUGGAGAAUUUUACAUGUGGCGGUGGGGGUUAAUGUUUUAAUCUCCAAGUUAAACCCUGAUGUUUUAAAGACUUGUCCUUUUUGCACAGAAACAGAAACUGUUUUUCACUGUUUUUUACAUCGCAAAAGACUUACAUCGCAGACUCUUUUAGUGAAACAUGGUCCCAGACCUCAACAACGCUGAGAGUAGCUGCACAUCUAAAGUGAGAUCUAAACUCAUUGUAGCACAACUACUCCACAGGUGGAACUCUGCCCUCUCACAAGAGGAAAAGGAAAUGCUAAGGGCGUUCUGUGGAGGUACUGAGCAGCCAGAUGAAGAUGAUCCCUUUCCUGAACAUACUUUGUCUCCAGACCUAGAGGGAAGUACUGGUCACUUUUUAGACUUUAAAAAUGUCAUGAAUAUGAAUUUUUAUGAGGUUUCUGGAAAAUGUUUUUAGAAAACGUGUGAAGUUUUUUUUUUUUUUAAAGGUCUCCAUGGCAGAGUCGACACACCAUGGUGCUCUGUCCUGGAGUUGGGCGAGGAAGAGCGACCACAGUGGAGAUCACUGUACAAGCCGCCGUUAACCAAGGGAUCUGGAGAUCUACAGUGGAGAAUCCUGCUUGGCAUCAUUGCUGUCAACGCUUUUAUCUCAGUUCUGUGUUCAGAGACAAGUCAUGAGUGUCCUUUCUGCCUCCAGAGUGAGACGAUUUUUCAUUCUUUUACGCAAUGCUCCACAUUAAAACUUUUUAACCUC
Tachysurus fulvidraco (yellow catfish) is the source of this 5310-nucleotide RNA transcript. RefSeq lists it as uncharacterized. The record is from RefSeq and is a predicted model, not a curated record. The transcript has 3 exons. NCBI's taxonomy places the organism in Eukaryota, Metazoa, Chordata, Actinopteri, Siluriformes, Bagridae.